CAUAGCGGGGCGAAGCCUGACCGCAAUGCCGCGUGCAGGAAGAAGGCCUUCGGGUUGUAAACUGCUUUUGUACGGAACGAAACGGUCCUUUCUAAUAAAGAGGGCUAAUGACGGUACCGUAAGAAUAAGCACCGGCUAACUACGUGCCAGCAGCCGCGGUAAUACGUAGGGUGCGAGCGUUAAUCGGAAUUACUGGGCGUAAAGUGUGCGCAGGCGGUUCUAUAAGACAGAUGUGAAAUCCCCGGGCUCAACCUGGGAAUGGCAUUUGUGACUGUAGAGCUAGAGUACGGUAGAGGGGGAUGGAAUUCCGCGUGUAGCAGUGAAAUGCGUAGAUAUGCGGAGGAACACCGAUGGCGAAGGCAAUCCCCUGGACCUGUACUGACGCUCAUGCACGAAAG
Molecule: ribosomal RNA, 398 nt
Filed under: uncultured bacterium
Lineage: Bacteria
Description: bacterial SSU rRNA
Rfam family: Bacterial small subunit ribosomal RNA
Source: RNAcentral